AAGUUUUUAUUUAAGUAGCGGACGGGUGAGUAACACGUAAGAAUUUACCUUUAGGAGGGGGAUAACAAUUGGAAACAACUGCUAAUACCCCAUAUGCUUGCAAGUAAAAUGGAUUUUCCGCCUAGAGAGAAGCUUGCGGCUGAUUAGCUUGUUGGUAGGGUAAUGGCUUACCAAGGCGACGAUCAGUAUCUGGUUUGAGAGGACGAUCAGACACACUGGAACUGAGACACGGUCCAGACUCCUACGGGAGGCAGCAGUAGGGAAUUUUCCGCAAUGAGCGAAAGCUUGACGGAGCAAUACCGCGUGAGGGAUGAAUGCCUAUGGGUUGUAAACCUCUUUUUUCAGGGAGGAAUCAAUGACGUGUACCUGAAGAAUAAGCAUCGGCUAACUCCGUGCCAGCAGCCGCGGUAAAACGGAGGAUGCAAGUGUUAUCCGGAAUCACUGGGCGUAAAGAGUUUGUAGGUGGUUAAAUAAGUCAACUGUUAAAUCUUGAGGCUCAACCUCAAAACUGCAGUCGAAACUAUUAAACUAGAGUAUAGUAGAGGUAGAGGGAAUUUCCAGUGGAACGGUGAAAUGCGUAGAGAUUGGAAAGAACACCAAUGGCGAAGGCACUUUACUAGGCUAUUACUGACACUCAGAAACGAAAGCUAGGGUAGCAAAUGGGAUUAGAUACCCCAGUAGUCCUAGCUGUAAACGAUGGAUACUAAGUGUUGAAUAGAUUAAUCUGUGCAGUACUAAAGCUAACGCGUUAAGUAUCCCGCCUGGGAAGUAUGCACGCAAGUGUGAAACUCAAAGGAAUUGACGGGGGCCCGCACAAGCGGUGGAGCAUGUGGUUUAAUUCGAUGCAACGCGAAGAACC
This 859-nucleotide ribosomal RNA is filed under the name uncultured marine organism. RNAcentral's name for it is "SSU rRNA". It matches the Rfam family "Bacterial small subunit ribosomal RNA", at positions 81 to 970 of the family's 1533-position model. The record is from RNAcentral.